GUCUGGCUGGCUCAGUUGGUGAAGUAUGCAACUCUUGAUUUCAGAAUUGUGGGUUCAAAUCCCAUGUUGGGUG
This is a transfer RNA of Felis catus (domestic cat), 73 nucleotides long. It matches the Rfam family "tRNA". Rfam says of the family: Transfer RNA (tRNA) molecules are approximately 80 nucleotides in length. Their secondary structure includes four short double-helical elements and three loops (D, anti-codon, and T loops). The record is from Rfam. NCBI's taxonomy places the organism in Eukaryota, Metazoa, Chordata, Mammalia, Carnivora, Felidae.